ACGGGGGCGGUACCCGGCGCCUCCACCAAAAUAUAAUUUGUUUUUUUAUAUUUUAGUGGGGGCGAAACAGGAUCGACAAAAGUGUAAAGAUUGCUCUUUUACUCGGUAUAGUACCACCGUUAUCGGACUAAAUGAGUAGUUGCAAAUGACAACUAUGCGGAAGCACGUCUCGCUGCCUGAGGUGGUGUGAAUGCUUCAAACUAAGUCUUAAACCGUCGCAGGUUUAAGCGGGGUUCGAAGGCACCUGGAGACAGAAGCACA
This 261-nucleotide transfer-messenger RNA is filed under the name Bartonella henselae. Its description in RNAcentral is "partial ssrA". It matches the Rfam family "Alphaproteobacteria transfer-messenger RNA", at positions 92 to 355 of the family's 355-position model. From Rfam's summary of the family: Bacterial tmRNA, also known as 10Sa RNA or SsrA, is named for its dual tRNA and mRNA-like properties. Its role is to liberate the mRNA from a stalled ribosome. The record is from RNAcentral. Lineage: Bacteria; Pseudomonadati; Pseudomonadota; Alphaproteobacteria; Hyphomicrobiales; Bartonellaceae.